AAAUUUGAACUAUGAUAAUAUUUUUUUGUUUCUGUUGUUCUAAAUCCAACCAAUGUGAACAAAAACAGACAGACAAAGAACAUAAAACUAUAUAUUUCAUAAACAUUGACGUCUGUAAUAAAAAUUAUUUACACUCAGUACAGCCUGUCAUACUUGCAAAGUAUACCAAUUUGUGCAUAGAAAUAAAGACCAAUUGUAUAUUUAUAAAAUGGUUACAGUGUCAAUUAUUCUCUUUGCCACUAAUAUCAUUCCUAAAAUAUUAGAUCAAAGUCUAUAAAUACUAGAUUUAUAUUAGAACAUUU
This 302-nucleotide long non-coding RNA is filed under the name Androctonus crassicauda. Lineage: Eukaryota; Metazoa; Arthropoda; Arachnida; Scorpiones; Buthidae. The record is from RNAcentral.